This 497-nucleotide ribosomal RNA is filed under the name uncultured bacterium. Its description in RNAcentral is "partial 16S ribosomal RNA". It matches the Rfam family "Bacterial small subunit ribosomal RNA", at positions 28 to 506 of the family's 1533-position model. The record is from RNAcentral.
GACGAACGCUGGCGGCGUGCCUAAUACAUGCAAGUCGAACGAGAGCGACCGGUGCUUGCACUGGUCAAUCUAGUGGCGAACGGGUGAGUAACACGUGGGUAACCUGCCCAUCAGAGGGGGAUAACAUUCGGAAACGGAUGCUAAAACCGCAUAGGUCUUCGAACCGCAUGGUUUGAAGAGGAAAAGAGGCGCAAGCUUCUGCUGAUGGAUGGACCCGCGGUGCAUUAGCUAGAUGGUGAGGUAACGGCUCACCAAGGCCGUGAUGCAUAGCCGACCGGAGAGGAGGAGCGGCAACACGGGAACGGAGACAAGGUCCAGACAGGUACGGGAGGCAGCAGUGGGGAAUAUGGAACAAUGGGCGCAAGCAGAAUCCAGCCAGACCGCGUGGGGGAAGAAGGCAGUCGGGUUGUAAAGCCCUUGUGUAGGGAAAGAAAAGCAGCAGGGUAAAACCCCGCGGUGCUGACGGUACCCAAAGAAUAAGCACCGGCUAACUUCGU